GGGACAGGGGACAGGGAGACAGGCGGAGCAGCAGGUGAUGGAACAGUUGUUAGGUAAUGUCUAUCUGUGGUUUAUGACGUUGGGACAACGACACUCUGGACCACUAGCAGGAUGCGGAGCAGAAAGGAGAGGGGUAUUCUGUAGAGAGGAGCGAAGAGGGGAUGAGAAGGGGUGCAAUCUAGAGGCCUGUUUGCUGAGGUGUCACACGGUUCCUGUCUUUGAUCAACAGUGUGGUGUCAGGAAAGUGAGGACCAUGUUAGCUGUUGGUUUGCCUUUUGUCUUGUUAGAUUCUUUAAUGUUCCUAGAAUGCUUUUAGUUUCUUAAAAUGCUUUUAGGUUCUUAGAAUGCUUUUAGGUUCUUAGAAUGCUUUUAGGUUCUUAGAAUGCUUUUAGGUUCUUAGAAUGCUUUUAGGUUCUUAGAAUGCUUUUAGGUUCUUAGAAUUCAUUGCAGAGAAGGGAAAGAUGUAGUAAGGUAGAAUUUAAAAUGUUCAGUGGAGCCAGCGUUCUGGAUGGAGUUUAGUAGAGGGCAUCAAGGAUAGACUGUCUGAAUGAUCUAUAUCCACACUACGAUGGAGACAAUGAAGACUGGGAUGUGGAUGAGACCAUGAAUCGCAGUAGAGCCGUGGGCCUGUCAGGGAGGACAUCCUGUCGUUGCCUCCUGUGAAGACAUGCUUCCUUAUAUCCCCAUAUGAAUACUGCCGUUAUGGAAUGAACAAGAGGACGAUGUGGGACUCUGACGUCAUGGAUCCAAAAUAUCAUCUCCACUACCCUCCUGUCUGUCUUUCUAUCUUUCUUCCUCUCCUCGCCCCUGUCCUAUCUCCUUCCUCCUCUCUUUCUGUCUUCCUCUCCUCGCCCCUGUCCUAUCUCCUUCCUCCUCUCUUUCUGUCUUCC
Molecule: long non-coding RNA, 890 nt
Organism: Oncorhynchus gorbuscha (pink salmon)
Lineage: Eukaryota; Metazoa; Chordata; Actinopteri; Salmoniformes; Salmonidae
Exons: 3
Source: RefSeq, a predicted model, not a curated record